GUUUUGUUUGAGCCUUCCAGCCUUUUGCCGAGCCGAGGGAGGCGUUCAAGGAGAGGCGGUCCGAGAGCGGGGAAUCAACCUACCUGUAACAAAAGCCAAGAAAUUGGAGAGGAAGGGAUUAUAAGAGAUGCUUGUCCUAUGGAACACAUUCUUCCAGAAAUCAGAUGGCCCCAAUCUUGUUAGUCUUCAAUAAGAUCGGACUGUUCCUCCAAGCAUUCAAGCCAAGCCAUUCCUCUGAAAAAUUGAUUACUGUAAUCAGAUUCUGGGAAGAUUCUUUAAACCAAUUGUGCCUGUUUAAAGUCUAUACAUCCACACACAAACAAAGAAAAUACAGAUGGAGAAAUGUAAAAGCAUUUGAAAAAAGCUUUUUUGAACUGCAAUAAC
Long non-coding RNA from Crotalus tigris (Tiger rattlesnake), 384 nucleotides. RefSeq lists it as uncharacterized. NCBI's taxonomy places the organism in Eukaryota, Metazoa, Chordata, Lepidosauria, Squamata, Viperidae. The transcript is spliced from 4 exons. The record is from RefSeq and is a predicted model, not a curated record.